This 486-nucleotide ribosomal RNA is filed under the name uncultured bacterium. RNAcentral's name for it is "partial 16S ribosomal RNA". It matches the Rfam family "Bacterial small subunit ribosomal RNA", at positions 55 to 541 of the family's 1533-position model. The record is from RNAcentral.
CUGCAGUCGAGCGGGAUGUCAGCAAURSCMUGAGAGCGCGMACGGGUGAGUAACGCGUACACGACCUACCUUUGACUGGGGGAUAAGCCCUGGGAAACUGGGAUUAAUACCGCAUAUAAUUCUGAAUGARUAAAGRWAUUGGAAUGAAAGUUCAGGGCGGUCAGAGAUGGGUGUGCGUCUGAUUAGCUAGUUGGUAGGUAACGGCUACCAAGGCGAUGAUCAGUAGGGGGCGUGAGAGCGUGGWCCCCCACACGGGUACUGAGACACGGACCCGACUCCUACGGGAGGCAGCAGUAAGGAAAUAUUGGCAAUGGCCGCAAGGCUGAUCCAGCCAUCCAGCGUGCAGGAAGAAGGCCCUAYGGGUUGUAAACUGCUUUURUCAGGGAAWGAAACCUGUGGAUUUACUCCGCAGCUGAMGGUACCUGAAGAAUAAGCACCGGCUAACUCCGUGCCCAGCAGCCGCGGUAAUACGGAGGGUGCGAGCGU